UGGGGUAAUUUUCCGCAAUGGGCGAAAGCCUGACGGAGCAAUGCCGCGUGGAGAUGGAAGGCCUACGGGUCGUCAACUUCUUUUCUCGGAGAAGAAACAAUGACGGUAUCUGAGGAAUAAGCAUCGGCUAACUCUGUGCAG
RNAcentral lists this ribosomal RNA (141 nucleotides) under uncultured bacterium. Its description in RNAcentral is "partial 16S rRNA". It matches the Rfam family "Bacterial small subunit ribosomal RNA", at positions 354 to 510 of the family's 1533-position model. The record is from RNAcentral.